GCUGGGCGUGGUGGCGCGCGCCUGUAAUCCCAGCUACUCAGGAGGCUGAGGCAGGAGAAUCGCUUGAACCCGGGAGGUGGAGGCUGCAGUGAGCCGAGAUCACACCAUUGUCCUCCAGCCUGGGUGACAGAGCCAGACUCCGUCUCAA
Homo sapiens (human) is the source of this 148-nucleotide non-coding RNA. It matches the Rfam family "Metazoan signal recognition particle RNA". Rfam says of the family: The signal recognition particle (SRP) is a universally conserved ribonucleoprotein. It is involved in the co-translational targeting of proteins to membranes. The eukaryotic SRP consists of a 300-nucleotide 7S RNA and six proteins: SRPs 72, 68, 54, 19, 14, and 9. The record is from Rfam. Lineage: Eukaryota; Metazoa; Chordata; Mammalia; Primates; Hominidae.